GACGAACGCUGGCGGCGUGCCUAAUACAUGCAAGUAGAACGCUGAAGAGAGGAGCUUGCUCUUCUUGGAUGAGUUGCGAACGGGUGAGUAACGCGUAGGUAACCUGCCUUGUAGCGGGGGAUAACUAUUGGAAACGAUAGCUAAUACCGCAUAACAAUGGAUGACACAUGUCCUUUAUUUGAAAGGGGCAAUUGUUCCACUACAAGAUGGACCUGCGUUGUAUUAGCUAGUAGGUGAGGUAAUGGCUCACCUAGGCGACGAUACAUAGCCGACCUGAGAGGGUGAUCGGCCACACUGGGACUGAGACACGGCCCAGACUCCUACGGGAGGCAGCAGUAGGGAAUCUUCGGCAAUGGGGGCAACCCUGACCGAGCAACGCCGCGGGAGUGAAGAAGGGUUUCGGAUCGUAAAGCUCGGUUGUAAGUCAAGAACGGGUGUGAGAGUGGAAAGUUCACACUGUGACGGUAGCUUACCAGAAAGGGACGGCUAACUACGUG
This 497-nucleotide ribosomal RNA is filed under the name uncultured bacterium. Its description in RNAcentral is "partial 16S ribosomal RNA". It matches the Rfam family "Bacterial small subunit ribosomal RNA", at positions 28 to 507 of the family's 1533-position model. The record is from RNAcentral.